Molecule: ribosomal RNA, 498 nt
Filed under: uncultured bacterium
Lineage: Bacteria
Description: bacterial SSU rRNA
Rfam family: Bacterial small subunit ribosomal RNA
Source: RNAcentral
GACGAACGCUGGCGGCGUGCUUAACACAUGCAAGUCGAGCGGCAGCGCGGGAGCAAUCCUGGCGGCGAGCGGCGAACGGGUGAGUAAUGCUUCGGAAUCUGCCCUUCAGUGGGGAAUAACCAGUCGAAAGACUGGCUAAUACCGCAUACGAACUGAGGUUGAAAGCAGGGGAUCGCAAGACCUUGCGCUGAUGGAUGAGCCGAAGUCGGAUUAGCUAGUUGGUAGGGUAACGGCCUACCAAGGCGACGAUCCGUAGCUGGUCUGAGAGGACGACCAGCCACACUGGGACUGAGACACGGCCCAGACUCCUACGGGAGGCAGCAGUGGGGAAUAUUGGACAAUGGGGGCAACCCUGAUCCAGCGACGCCGCGUGUGUGAAGAAGGCCUUCGGGUUGUAAACCGCUUUUGUCAGGGAAGAAAGUUCCGGGUUAAUACCCUGGGAUGCUGACGGUACCUGAAGAAUAAGCACCGGCGUAACUACGUGCCAGCAGCCGCGGU